This 516-nucleotide long non-coding RNA is filed under the name Hordeum vulgare. Its description in RNAcentral is "long non-coding RNA (HVUL_LNC014183)". The record is from RNAcentral. Lineage: Eukaryota; Viridiplantae; Streptophyta; Magnoliopsida; Poales; Poaceae.
UAUUGAUGAGUUGGGCUAUUACUUGGUCUUAUCAGAAUUGCAUUAGGCCCGUUUGUGAGGCUCUUCCUUUCUCCGGACGGUGUUGUUCCCUCCAAAACCAACUGACGAAUCGGUUGCAGCGGGACCGGAGACGCUCUGCCGUCAGUCUAUAUAGCCUCCCUCGCCUCGCCUUUCUCCUCUCCCAUCCUUUCUCGUAGCUUCCUUCCAUCCACCCUCCCCCUCUCCUCUUCAUCUCGGGUGCGCCCGCGGUUCUUGCGGUUUGCGAAGCUGUUCGACCGAGAGGCGAGAUGGCGGACAAGGGGAAGCUCAGCGGCAACGACAUUAUCCGGGCAACUGAGCAGCCGCGUGCAGCGCGGAUGCAUACUAGAGCUGGCAGCGACAUUGCUGGGACUUCAGAUCAGUCUGCAGGGCUGACGGAGAUUGCAGCCAGGGGCGGCAUUGCCAGAACUUCGCAGCGGCUUGCAGUUGCAGCAGGGAUGACGGAUUUCCCCGGCGCCUCCUCCUCCCAGCUCGAUG